GCCCUCGUAGCUCAAUGGAUAGAGCUCCGCAUUCCUAACGCGGUGAUAGAGGUCCGAUUCCUCUCGAGGGUACCA
Molecule: transfer RNA, 75 nt
Filed under: Candidatus Doudnaibacteriota bacterium
Lineage: Bacteria; Candidatus Doudnaibacteriota
Also listed under: 1 other name
Description: Candidatus Doudnabacteria bacterium tRNA-Arg
Rfam family: tRNA
About the family: Transfer RNA (tRNA) molecules are approximately 80 nucleotides in length. Their secondary structure includes four short double-helical elements and three loops (D, anti-codon, and T loops). Further hydrogen bonds mediate the characteristic L-shaped molecular structure. tRNAs have two regions of fundamental functional importance: the anti-codon, which is responsible for specific mRNA codon recognition, and the 3' end, to which the tRNAs corresponding amino acid is attached (by aminoacyl-tRNA synthetases). tRNAs cope with the degeneracy of the genetic code in two manners: having more than one tRNA (with a specific anti-codon) for a particular amino acid; and 'wobble' base-pairing, i.e. permitting non-standard base-pairing at the 3rd anti-codon position.
Source: RNAcentral